GAUUCAGACAACAGCCUUCUAUGAGAAGGUGUUCUCUAUAACUUUCAUAGCUGCAGAGGAGAGGUCAGUGACUCAAUAAUUCCAGAGCCACCUCAACCUUCAGCAAGCACCAUUUCAAUACGCAAACAUCAACACUGAACCAGACCUUGCAUCAGCAGAAAGAUUAAGACUUUCUGAAGGAUUAGCAAUCAGAACUGUUGAAUUUGAAAAUAUUUGGUACCAAGAUUGAGAGACAACAUCAGGCCACGUUUGACUUUGGUUAAGAAAUGGAGUUGAAGUAGCUGUGUCAACACAGUGUUUGAGAUUUGAGCAAAGGCAUUUGAAGUUACACUCAACAUCUGUGAAAUAUUCCUCGGAAGCUUCAGUCCCGCUGAAGGACCGGUUUCCUCAGUUCUUUGUGGUCUUUGUGCACCUUUGGGACCUACGACACUUCCUGGUCACUUCCGCAAAGACAGCGGAAAUGAAAUCACACCAAGAAUCAAACGCCGGACC
Molecule: long non-coding RNA, 492 nt
Organism: Fukomys damarensis (Damara mole-rat)
Lineage: Eukaryota; Metazoa; Chordata; Mammalia; Rodentia; Bathyergidae
Exons: 5
Source: RefSeq, a predicted model, not a curated record